Long non-coding RNA from Cicer arietinum (chickpea), 1263 nucleotides. RefSeq lists it as uncharacterized. NCBI's taxonomy places the organism in Eukaryota, Viridiplantae, Streptophyta, Magnoliopsida, Fabales, Fabaceae. The record is from RefSeq and is a predicted model, not a curated record.
UUUUGUAAAUUGUUUUAUGCUACAUUUACAAACUAUUGUGGUAUAUUCAUAUAUUGAAGAAGCUUUCUCUAUAGUCUAAUUAAGAACUAACUAUUUCUUCUACUUAAACUCAUUUUCUCUUAUUUCACGAAAACCCUAGAUUUUCUCUAAACAGGUAAACCUCCCAAUCCUUCACCGUCUUCAACCUUGCGUAGAUCGGUUCAACCUUCGUCUUUAACAUACAUCUUAAACCUUCAAUCGUUCACUGUCUUCGAUCCUUAAAACCUCAUCUUAACCCUUCAACCUCCACUUGCUCCACUCACGACUAUUUCAAGCACCUCGUGCGGCUUUAUUCAUUCUCUUUGUGCGGCUUUAUUCAUUCUCUUUGUGCGGCUUUAUUCAUUCUCUUUGUGCGUCUCUGUAUCAACCAUCUGUGCGUUAGGGUUUCAUCUAAACCCUCCACUCCUCCAUUCAAUCGCCAUAAUUCACUCUUGAUUAAUUGUGCGCGCUCUGUUCUAGUUACUAUGCCACAAGAUUUGUCUCCAUCAUUGUGGCUCCACUUAUUUGCCUCUUUAGGAUUUAGGGUUUAUGGUUAAUUCAUGGAUUAUUUGAGGAAAUUCCCUUACCCCUGUUUUGAUUCAUUGCAAUUGAGGAAAGGUGGUAUGCCAAGUAUGAUUGGUCUUCCUUCAGAUCAUGCACUUGUUGAGGAUGAUGAAUGCUUAAGGAAACAAUGACGAAUGAAAUCAACGUUAAGCUAUUGAUCGAGUUUGCCUGAACUACCAAUGUUGUAGGCACCUGCAACCAUAUAUUUUCUCUGCUUUCUGUUGUUGGGUUAGUUUUUUUCAAUUGACUCCUACAUAGCCAUGACCGCACAGCACAGUGUCACCGAUUACCACUCAACACCCACAAAACCAUUGAUGUAUAAGAAGAAACGCAUUUGGUCUUGGAAUAAUUAAAUUGAAUUUGACCCAAAAAAAAAAAGAGUUGUUAGUUGAGAAUUGAGAAUUGUUGUUAGGUUUGGAAGAGAAUGGGAAGAAAAGAAUCUAUUCGUUGUUACUUCUUCCUCACCAGCUUCUUGUUCAUCCUCUGAUCGUGUCAGCUUAGGGUUUUUCUUCUGAUUUAGCCACCACCGUCACACUUUGCGGCCAUCGAAUCUUAACCUCUUUAAGUUGCAUCUCAAAUUCGUUGUCAUCUAACCUCUUUCUAAAAGCCAGAUAUGGAGGAACUUAUGUGUUGACAAUGACAACAUCUUCGGAUCGCGAGAAGAAUGUAGAGAACAUGGUA